UGGGGAAUAUUGCACAAUGGGCGAAAGCCUGAUGCAGCAACGCCGCGUGAGCGAUGAAGGCCUUCGGGUCGUAAAGCUCUGUCCUCAAGGAAGAUAAUGACGGUACUUGAGGAGGAAGCCCCGGCUAACUACGUGCCAGCAGCCGCGGUAAUACGUAGGGGGCUAGCGUUAUCCGGAAUUACUGGGCGUAAAGGGUGCGUAGGUGGUUUCUUAAGUCAAAGGUGAAAGGCUACGGCUCAACCGUAGUAAGCCUUUGAAACUGGGAAAUUUGAGUGCAGGAGAGGAGAGUGGAAUUCCUAGUGUAGCGGUGAAAUGCGUAGAGAUUAGGAGGAACACCAGUUGCGAAGGCGGCUUUCUGGACUGUAACUGACACUGCGGCACGAAAGCGUGGGGAGCAAACA
RNAcentral lists this ribosomal RNA (401 nucleotides) under uncultured prokaryote. RNAcentral describes it as "bacterial SSU rRNA". It matches the Rfam family "Bacterial small subunit ribosomal RNA", at positions 355 to 774 of the family's 1533-position model. The record is from RNAcentral.